GUGGGGAAUUUUGGACAAUGGGGGAAACCCUGAUCCAGCCAUGCCGCGUGGGUGAAGAAGGCCUUCGGGUUGUAAAGCCCUUUCGGACGGAAAGAAAUCGCACAGUCUAAUAAGCUGUGUGGAUGACGGUACCGUAAGAAGAAGCACCGGCUAACUACGUGCCAGCAGCCGCGGUAAUACGUAGGGUGCGAGCGUUAAUCGGAAUUACUGGGCGUAAAGCGUGCGCAGGCGGAUGCUUAAGCCAGAUGUGAAAUCCCCGGGCUUAACCUGGGAAUUGCAUUUGGAACUGGGCAUCUAGAGUGCGGCAGAGGGGGGUGGAAUUCCUGGUGUAGCAGUGAAAUGCGUAGAGAUCAGGAGGAACACCGAUGGCGAAGGCAGCCCCCUGGGCCGACACUGACGCUCAUGCACGAAAGCGUGGGGAGCAAACAGGAUUAGAAACCCGAGUAGUCC
This 450-nucleotide ribosomal RNA is filed under the name uncultured bacterium. Its description in RNAcentral is "bacterial SSU rRNA". It matches the Rfam family "Bacterial small subunit ribosomal RNA", at positions 354 to 796 of the family's 1533-position model. The record is from RNAcentral.